This 460-nucleotide ribosomal RNA is filed under the name uncultured bacterium. RNAcentral's name for it is "partial 16S ribosomal RNA". It matches the Rfam family "Bacterial small subunit ribosomal RNA", at positions 338 to 795 of the family's 1533-position model. The record is from RNAcentral.
CCUACGGGAGACAGCAGUGAGGAAUAUUGGUCAAUGGGCGGAAGCCUGAACCAGCCAAGUCGCGUGAGGGAAUAAGGCCCUACGGGUCGUAAACCUCUUUUGCCGGGGAGCAAGGGCCGGGACGAGUCCCGGUCCGGAGAGUACCCGGAGAAAAAGCAUCGGCUAACCCCGUGCCAGCAGCCGCGGUAAUACGGAGGAUGCGAGCGUUAUCCGGAUUUAUUGGGUUUAAUGGGUGCGUAGGCGGGCUUUUAAGUCAGCGGUAAAAAUUCGGGGCUCAACCCCGUCCGGCCGUUGAAACUGGGGGCCUUGAGUGGGCGGGAGGAAGGCGGAAUGCGUGGUGUAGCGGUGAAAUGCAUAGAGAUCACGCAGAACCCCGAUUGCGAAGGCAGCCUUCCGGCGCCCUACUGACGUUGAGGCUCGAAGGCGUGGGGAGCAAACAGGAUUAGAUACCCCAGUAGUC